AACGAACGCUGGCGGCGUGCCUAACACAUGCAAGUCGUGCGGGAAAGCAGGGGCAACUCUGCGAGUACAGCGGCGCACGGGUGAGUAACACGUAGGUAACCUACCUCCGAGACUGGGAUAACCUGUCGAAAGACGGGCUAAUACCGGAUAAGACCACAACGGCUGCGGUUGUUGGGUAAAGGUAGGCCUCUGCUUGCAAGCUACCACUUGGGGAUGGGCCUGCGCGCCAUUAGCUAGUUGGCGGGGUAACGGCCACCAAGGCAGAGAUGGCUAGCUGGUCUGAGAGGAUGGCCAGCCACACUGGGACUGAGA
Molecule: ribosomal RNA, 312 nt
Filed under: uncultured bacterium
Lineage: Bacteria
Description: bacterial SSU rRNA
Rfam family: Bacterial small subunit ribosomal RNA
Source: RNAcentral